UGCAGUCGAGCGGAGUUUUGGUGCUUGCACCAAGACUUAGCGGCGGACGGGUGAGUAAUGCUUAGGAAUCUGCCUAUUAGUGGGGGACAACGUUUCGAAAGGAACGCUAAUACCGCAUACGUCCUACGGGAGAAAGCAGGGGAUCUUCGGACCUUGCGCUAAUAGAUGAGCCUAAGUCGGAUUAGCUAGUUGGUGGGGUAAAGGCCUACCAAGGCGACGAUCUGUAGCGGGUCUGAGAGGAUGAUCCGCUACACUGGGACUGAGACACGGCCCAGACUCCUACGGGAGGCAGCAGUGGGGAAUAUUGGACAAUGGGCGGAAGCCUGAUCCAGCCAUGCCGCGUGUGUGAAGAAGGCCUUUUGGUUGUAAAGCACUUUAAGCGAGGAGGAGGAGCUCUAGGUUAAUACCCUAGAAGCUUGGACGUUACUCGCAGAAUAAGCACCGGCUAACUCUGUGCCAGCAGCCGCGGUAAUACAGAGGGUGCAAGCGUUAAUCGGAUUUACUGGGCGUAAAGCGCGCGUAGGCGGCUAAUUAAGUCAAAUGUGAAAUCCCCGAGCUUAACUUGGGAAUUGCAUUCGAUACUGGUUAGCUAGAGUGUGGGAGAGGAUGGUAGAAUUCCAGGUGUAGCGGU
This 631-nucleotide ribosomal RNA is filed under the name uncultured bacterium. RNAcentral describes it as "bacterial SSU rRNA". It matches the Rfam family "Bacterial small subunit ribosomal RNA", at positions 56 to 682 of the family's 1533-position model. The record is from RNAcentral.